GAGCGACUGGAGAACACAUUUGGAGAAACUUGCUGAAGGCCAAAGACAAAAAGACAGAAGAAAAAAAAAUUCAGACUGCAAUUAAUUUCAGGUGGAGACAGUAAACACAGGAGGCGCCUGAUAUCAACGUGAAACGCACUGCAGUACUUCGUGCCCUUCCUGUAUACCUGCGGGAGGAGGACCCAGAAUUCUUUUAGACAU
Molecule: non-coding RNA, 201 nt
Organism: Maylandia zebra (zebra mbuna)
Lineage: Eukaryota; Metazoa; Chordata; Actinopteri; Cichliformes; Cichlidae
Source: RefSeq, a predicted model, not a curated record